UUUGAUCCUGGCUCAGAUUGAACGCUGGCGGCAGGCCUAACACAUGCAAGUCGAACGGCAGCACAGAAGAGCUUGCUCUUUGGGUGGCGAGUGGCGGACGGGUGAGUAAUGUCUGGGAAACUGCCCGAUGGAGGGGGAUAACUACUGGAAACGGUAGCUAAUACCGCAUAACGUCGCAAGACCAAAGUGGGGGACCUUCGGGCCUCACACCAUCGGAUGUGCCCAGAUGGGAUUAGCUAGUAGGUGGGGUAAUGGCUCACCUAGGCGACGAUCCCUAGCUGGUCUGAGAGGAUGACCAGCCACACUGGAACUGAGACACGGUCCAGACUCCUACGGGAGGCAGCAGUGGGGAAUAUUGCACAAUGGGCGCAAGCCUGAUGCAGCCAUGCCGCGUGUAUGAAGAAGGCCUUCGGGUUGUAAAGUACUUUCAGCGGGGAGGAAGGCGGUGAGGUUAAUAACCUUGCCGAUUGACGUUACCCGCAGAAGAAGCACCGGCUAACUCCGUGCCAGCAGCCGCGGUAAUACGGAGGGUGCAAGCGUUAAUCGGAAUUACUGGGCGUAAAGCGCACGCAGGCGGUCUGUUAAGUCAGAUGUGAAAUCCCCGGGCUUAACCUGGGAACUGCAUUUGAAACUGGCAGGCUUGAGUCUCGUAGAGGGGGGUAGAAUUUCCAGGUGUAGCGGUGAAAUGCGUAGAGAUCUGGAGGAAUACCGGUGGCGAAGGCGGCCCCCUGGACGAAGACUGACGCUCAGGUGCGAAAGCGUGGGGAGCAAACAGGAUUAGAUACCCUGGUAGUCCACGCCGUAAACGAUGUCGACUUGGAGGUUGUGCCCUUGAGGCGUGGCUUCCGGAGCUAACGCGUUAAGUCGACCGCCUGGGGAGUACGGCCGCAAGGUUAAAACUCAAAUGAAUUGACGGGGGCCCGCACAAGCGGUGGAGCAUGUGGUUUAAUUCGAUGCAACGCGAAGAACCUUACCUGGCCUUGACAUCCAGAGAACUUAGCAGAGAUGCUUUGGUGCCUUCGGGAACUCUGAGACAGGUGCUGCAUGGCUGUCGUCAGCUCGUGUUGUGAAAUGUUGGGUUAAGUCCCGCAACGAGCGCAACCCUUAUCCUUUGUUGCCAGCGAUUCGGUCGGGAACUCAAAGGAGACUGCCGGUGAUAAACCGGAGGAAGGUGGGGAUGACGUCAAGUCAUCAUGGCCCUUACGGCCAGGGCUACACACGUGCUACAAUGGCGCAUACAAAGAGAAGCGACCUCGCGAGAGCAAGCGGACCUCAUAAAGUGCGUCGUAGUCCGGAUUGGAGUCUGCAACUCGACUCCAUGAAGUCGGAAUCGCUAGUAAUCGUAGAUCAGAAUGCUACGGUGAAUACGUUCCCGGGCCU
This 1380-nucleotide ribosomal RNA is filed under the name uncultured bacterium. RNAcentral's name for it is "bacterial SSU rRNA". It matches the Rfam family "Bacterial small subunit ribosomal RNA", at positions 12 to 1381 of the family's 1533-position model. The record is from RNAcentral.